RNAcentral lists this ribosomal RNA (260 nucleotides) under uncultured bacterium. RNAcentral's name for it is "partial 16S ribosomal RNA". It matches the Rfam family "Bacterial small subunit ribosomal RNA", at positions 1243 to 1500 of the family's 1533-position model. The record is from RNAcentral.
CGAGUCGCAAGCUCGCGAGAGUAAGCUAAUCUCUUAAAAGCCGUUCUCAGUUCGGACUGUAGGCUGCAACUCGCCUACACGAAGUCGGAAUCGCUAGUAAUCGCGGAUCAGCAUGCCGCGGUGAAUACGUUCCCGGGCCUUGUACACACCGCCCGUCACACCAUGGGAGUUUGUAACGCCCAAAGUCGGUGGCCUAACCUUUAUGGAGGGAGCCGCCUAAGGCGGGACAGAUGACUGGGGUGAAGUCGUAACAAGGUAGC